GACGAACGCUGGCGGCGCGCUUAACACAUGCGAGUCGAACGGAAAGGCCUGCUUUCCCUUGUGGAUUGCGGGUACUCGAGUGGCGAACGGGUGAGUAACACGUGAGUGAUCUGCCCCCAACUUGGGUAUAAGCCUGGGAAACUGGGUCUAAUUCCCGAUAGGACUGCAGGGUGGUGCCUGUGGUGGAAAACGAUUUUCUAGUGGUUGGGGAUGAGCUCGCGGCCUAUCCGCUUGUUGGUGGGGUAAUGGCCUACCAAGGCGGCGACGGGUAGCCGGCCUGAGAGGGUGGACGGCCACAUUGGGACUGAGAUACAGCCCAGACUCCUACGGGAGGCAGCAGUGGGGAAUAUUGCACAAUGGGCGGAAGCCUGAUGCAGCGACGCCGCGUGGGGGAUGACGGCCUUCGGGUUGUAAACUCCUUUCGACCGCGAGGAAGCCACCUGGUUGGAAGGGUGGUGACGGUAGUGGUAGAAGAAGCACCGGCUAACUACGUG
Molecule: ribosomal RNA, 494 nt
Filed under: uncultured bacterium
Lineage: Bacteria
Description: partial 16S ribosomal RNA
Rfam family: Bacterial small subunit ribosomal RNA
Source: RNAcentral